RNAcentral lists this transfer RNA (72 nucleotides) under marine sediment metagenome. Its description in RNAcentral is "tRNA-Gln". It matches the Rfam family "tRNA". Rfam says of the family: Transfer RNA (tRNA) molecules are approximately 80 nucleotides in length. Their secondary structure includes four short double-helical elements and three loops (D, anti-codon, and T loops). The record is from RNAcentral.
UCACUGGUCGUCUAACUGGUAGGACGUGAGGUUCUGGACCUCAAAACGUUGGUUCGAUCCCAGCCCGGUGAA